Molecule: ribosomal RNA, 255 nt
Filed under: uncultured bacterium
Lineage: Bacteria
Description: partial 16S ribosomal RNA
Rfam family: Bacterial small subunit ribosomal RNA
Source: RNAcentral
UACGAAGGGGGCUAGCGUUGCUCGGAAUUACUGGGCGUAAAGGGCGCGUAGGCGGAUGUCUAAAGUUGGGGGUGAAAUCCCGGGGCUCAACCUCGGAACCGCCUUCAAUACUGGAUAUCUUGAGUUCGGGAGAGGUGAGUGGAAUGCCGAGUGUAGAGGUGAAAUUCGUAGAUAUUGGGAAGAACACCGGUGGCGAAGGCGGCGACCUGGUCCGAUACUGACGCUGAGGCGCGAAAAGCGUGGGGAGCAAACAGG